Molecule: ribosomal RNA, 444 nt
Filed under: uncultured Leptolinea sp.
Lineage: Bacteria; Bacillati; Chloroflexota; Anaerolineae; Anaerolineales; Anaerolineaceae
Description: bacterial SSU rRNA
Rfam family: Bacterial small subunit ribosomal RNA
Source: RNAcentral
ACAAGCAGCGGAGCGUGUGGUUUAAUUCGAUGCAACGCGUACGAACUUACCAGGGUUUGACAUGCAAGUGGUAGGAAGCCGAAAGGUGACCGACCCUUCGGGGAGCUUGCACAGGUGCUGCAUGGCUGUCGUCAGCUCGUGUCGUGAGAUGUUCGGUUAAGUCCGCUAACGAGCGCAACCCUCGCUGCGUGUUAUAUGUGUCACACGGGACUGCCGGUCUUAAGCCGGAGGAAGGUGGGGAUGAUGUCAAGUCAGCAUGGCCUUUAUAUCCUGGGCUACACACACGCUACAAUGGCCAACACAAUAGGUUGCUAAGCCGCGAGGUGGCGCCAAUCCAUAAAGUUGGUCUCAGUUCAGAUUGUAGGCUGCAACCCGCCUGCAUGAAGAUGGAGUUGCUAGUAACCGCAGGUCAGCUAUACUGCGGUGAAUACGUUCCCGGGGCUU